This 381-nucleotide ribosomal RNA is filed under the name uncultured bacterium. RNAcentral's name for it is "bacterial SSU rRNA". It matches the Rfam family "Bacterial small subunit ribosomal RNA", at positions 790 to 1167 of the family's 1533-position model. The record is from RNAcentral.
GUAGUCCACGCCCUAAACGAUGGAUACUCACUGUAGCGGGUAUUGACCCCCGCUGUAGUCUAGCUAACGCGUUAAGUAUCCCGCCUGGGGAGUACGGUCGCAAGAUUAAAACUCAAAGGAAUUGACGGGGACCCGCACAAGCGGUGGAUUAUGUGGUUUAAUUCGAAGCAACGCGCAAAACCUUACCUAGCCUUGACAUGCCUCUGAAUCUUCCUUGAAAGAGGGAGAGGCCCUUCGGGGACGGAGGACACAGGUGCUGCAUGGCUGUCGUCAGCUCGUGUCGUGAGAUGUUCGGUUAAGUCCGGCAACGAGCGCAACCCUUGUCUUUAGUUGCCAUCAUUAAGUUGGGCACUCUAGAGAGACUGCCGGUGUUAAACCGGA